Molecule: ribosomal RNA, 722 nt
Filed under: uncultured bacterium
Lineage: Bacteria
Description: bacterial SSU rRNA
Rfam family: Bacterial small subunit ribosomal RNA
Source: RNAcentral
AAUGAACGCGGCGGCGUGCUAACACAUGCAAGUCGGAUGUGCCCAGCAAGGGUGCAUGGCAGACGGGUGAGUAACGCGUGGGGAAUCUACCUUUUAGUGGGGAAUAACGCUCCGAAAGGAGUGGUAAUACCGCAUGAGACCAGUGGCUGGGAUGCUGCUGGUGAAACCCUGGGACCUUCGGGCCAGGGGCUAGAAGAGGAUCCUGCGUCUGAUUAGCUAGUUGGUGAGGUAACGGCCCACCAAGGCAUCGAUCAGUAGCCGGCCUGAGAGGGUGAUCGGCCACACUGGAACUGAGACACGGUCCAGACUCCUACGGGAGGCAGCAGUGGGGAAUUUUGCGCAAUGGGCGAAAGCCUGACGCAGCAACGCCGCGUGGGUGAUGAAGGUCUUCGGAUUGUAAAACCCUGUCGCCAGGGACGAAGGGUGGGGCGUGAAUAGCGUUUCACUUUGACGGUACCUGGAAAGGAAGCCCCGGCUAACUCUGUGCCAGCAGCCGCGGUAAUACAGAGGGGGCAAGCGUUAUUCGGAAUUAUUGGGCGUAAAGGGCGCGUAGGCGGUUUUUUAAGUCGGAUGUGCAAUCCCUGGGCUCAACCCAGGAACUGCAUCCGAGACUGGAAGGCUAGAGUACUGGAGAGGGUGGUGGAAUUCCUCGUGUAGCGGUGAAAUGCGUAGAGAUGAGGAGGAACACCAGUGGCGAAGGCGGCCACCUGGACAGUAACUGA